CAACGGCCCGAAGGGCGAAGCGCGCAGCGCUGAGUCAUCCUUCCCCCACCACCA
This 54-nucleotide small RNA is filed under the name Salmonella enterica subsp. enterica serovar Kiambu. RNAcentral's name for it is "partial RtT sRNA". It matches the Rfam family "RtT RNA", at positions 77 to 130 of the family's 130-position model. From Rfam's summary of the family: This family represents a bacterial cis-regulatory element known as RtT RNA. Lineage: Bacteria; Pseudomonadati; Pseudomonadota; Gammaproteobacteria; Enterobacterales; Enterobacteriaceae. The record is from RNAcentral.